RNAcentral lists this ribosomal RNA (444 nucleotides) under uncultured bacterium. RNAcentral describes it as "bacterial SSU rRNA". It matches the Rfam family "Bacterial small subunit ribosomal RNA", at positions 354 to 796 of the family's 1533-position model. The record is from RNAcentral.
GUAGGGAAUAUUGGGCAAUGGUCGGAAGACUGACCCAGCCAUGCCGCGUGCAGGAAGACGGCCCUCUGGGUUGUAAACUGCUUUUAUCUGGGAAGAAAAAGGCCAUGCGUGGCAAAUUGCCGGUACCAGAUGAAUAAGCACCGGCUAACUCCGUGCCAGCAGCCGCGGUAAUACGGAGGGUGCGAGCGUUGUCCGGACUUAUUGGGUUUAAAGGGUGCGUAGGCGGCUGAUUAAGUCAGCGGUGAAAGACUUCGGCUUAACCGGAGCAGUGCCGUUGAUACUGGUUGGCUUGAGUGUCGGAGGGGUACAUGGAAUUGAUGGUGUAGCGGUGAAAUGCAUAGAUACCAUCAGGAACACCGAUAGCGAAGGCAUUGUACUGGCCGACAACUGACGCUGAUGCACGAAAGUGUGGGGAUCGAACAGGAUUAGAUACCCCGGUAGUCC